CCUACGGGAGGCAGCAGUGGGGAAUUUUGGACAAUGGGCGCAAGCCUGAUCCAGCCAUGCCGCGUGCGGGAAGAAGGCCUUCGGGUUGUAAACCGCUUUUGUCAGGGAAGAAAUCCUUUGGGUUAAUACCUCGGAGGGAUGACGGUACCUGAAGAAUAAGCACCGGCUAACUACGUGCCAGCAGCCGCGGUAAUACGUAGGGUGCGAGCGUUAAUCGGAAUUACUGGGCGUAAAGCGUGCGCAGGCGGUUAUGCAAGACAGAUGUGAAAUCCCCGGGCUCAACCUGGGAACUGCAUUUGUGACUGCAUAGCUAGAGUACGGUAGAGGGGGAUGGAAUUCCGCGUGUAGCAGUGAAAUGCGUAGAUAUGCGGAGGAACACCGAUGGCGAAGGCAAUCCCCUGGACCUGUACUGACGCUCAUGCACGAAAGCGUGGGGAGCAAACAGGAUUAGAUACCCUGGUAGUCCACGCCCUAAACGAUGUCAACUGGUUGUUGGACGGCUUGCUGUUCAGUAACGAAGCUAACGCGNGAGUGACGCGNGGNGCGCGCGAGUAGAGANANAGAGUGAGNGNGAGAGNGCGAGACGACGACGAGGGAGGAGG
Molecule: ribosomal RNA, 602 nt
Filed under: uncultured bacterium
Lineage: Bacteria
Description: bacterial SSU rRNA
Rfam family: Bacterial small subunit ribosomal RNA (bases 1-539)
Source: RNAcentral